This 484-nucleotide ribosomal RNA is filed under the name uncultured bacterium. RNAcentral describes it as "partial 16S ribosomal RNA". It matches the Rfam family "Bacterial small subunit ribosomal RNA", at positions 30 to 507 of the family's 1533-position model. The record is from RNAcentral.
AUUGAACGCUGGCGGCAGGCCUAACACAUGCAAGUCGAGCGGAUGAAGGGAGCUUGAUCCUGGAUUCAGCGGCGGACGGGGGAGUAAUGCCUAGGAAUCUGCCUGGUAGUGGGGGAUAACGUCCGGAAACGGGCGCUGAUACCGCAUACGUCCUGAUGGAGAAAGUGGGGGAUCUUCGGACCUCACGCUAUCAGAUGAGCCUAGGUCGGAUUAGCUAGUUGGUGGGGUAAAGGCCUACCAAGGCGACGAUCCGUAACUGGUCUGAGAGGAUGAUCAGUCACACUGGAACUGAGACACGGUCCAGACUCCUACGGGAGGCAGCAGUGGGGAAUAGUGGACAAUGGGCGAAAGCCUGAUCCAGCCAUGCCGCGUGUGUGAAGAAGGUCUUCGGAUUGUAAAGCACUUUAAGUUGGGAGGAAGGGCAGUAAGUUAAUACCUUGCUGUUUUGACGUUACCAACAGAAUAAGCACCGGCUAACUUCGUG